Molecule: ribosomal RNA, 372 nt
Filed under: uncultured bacterium
Lineage: Bacteria
Description: bacterial SSU rRNA
Rfam family: Bacterial small subunit ribosomal RNA
Source: RNAcentral
UGAGGAAUAUUGGGCAAUGCCCGCAAGGGUGACCCAGCAACGCCGCGUGGAGGAUGAAUGUCGUAAGAUUGUAAACUCCUGUUAGAGGGGAAGAAUAGUACCGGUUGGACCGGUAUAUGACUGUACCCUCAGAGAAAGCCCCGGCUAACUACGUGCCAGCAGCCGCGGUAAUACGUAGGGGGCAAGCGUUGUCCGGAUUUACUGGGUGUAAAGGGCGCGCAGGCGGGAUAAAAAGUCAGUGGUGAAAUCCUACAGCUUAACUGUAGAACUGCCUUUGAUACUUUUAUUCUUGAGUUCGGGAGAGAGAGACGGAAUUCCAGGUGUAGUGGUGAAAUACGUAGAUAUCUGGAAGAACACCAGUUGCGAAGGCGG